This 21-nucleotide non-coding RNA is filed under the name Callorhinchus milii (elephant shark). The record is from RNAcentral. RNAcentral also lists the same sequence under 52 other names. Lineage: Eukaryota; Metazoa; Chordata; Chondrichthyes; Chimaeriformes; Callorhinchidae.
UGAGAUGAAGCACUGUAGCUC